UGAAGUGAUGAUGUAAUUUGCGUCUUAGAGUUGCUCUGUGAACAGUUGCCUGCUGUUCCAGUGCAGAGCAUUUUCACUGACGACAAAUUUGAUUCUGAUCA
Rhopilema esculentum is the source of this 101-nucleotide small nucleolar RNA. RefSeq annotates it as small nucleolar RNA SNORD16. NCBI's taxonomy places the organism in Eukaryota, Metazoa, Cnidaria, Scyphozoa, Rhizostomeae, Rhizostomatidae. The record is from RefSeq and is a predicted model, not a curated record.